CCUCUGUCUCCUCUCUAUCUAGAGGCAGUUAGUCCUUUGUCCUCCAUGGAAAAGUUUCUGGGAACCUGAUGUCAAAUGUCACCUGUGCAUACUUCCCUGAGAAGUGGAAUCUGGCUGCAGUGCAACACCAAGAGAAGCAGCAUCUGUAGGUAUCUGGAUCCUCCCUUGUCAGCAGCUCUAAGCACUGACUUGCAAUGGCUGCCUGCCUCAGUUUGCCUACCAUAUGGAUGCCCAAGCUGGUCUGUGGCAAGUCAGACAUCAAUGAGAGGAGAGGCCCUUGGACCUGUGAAUGCUCAUUGCCCCAGAUUAGGGGAAUGCCAGGACAGGGAAGCAGGAGUGUGUGCA
This is a long non-coding RNA of Apodemus sylvaticus (European woodmouse), 345 nucleotides long. RefSeq lists it as uncharacterized. The record is from RefSeq and is a predicted model, not a curated record. The transcript is spliced from 3 exons. Lineage: Eukaryota; Metazoa; Chordata; Mammalia; Rodentia; Muridae.